CGGUGAAGGAGAGCUUGCUCUCUGGAUCAGUGGCGAACGGGUGAGUAACACGUGAGCAACGUGCCCCAGACUCUGGGAUAACAGUUGGAAACAGCUGCUAAUACCGGAUACGAGACGUGAUCGCAUGGUCAACGUUUGGAAAGAUUUUUCGGUCUGGGAUCGGCUCGCGGCCUAUCAGCUAGUUGGUGAGGUAAUGGCUCACCAAGGCGUCGACGGGUAGCCGGCCUGAGAGGGUGACCGGCCGCACUGGGACUGAGACACGGCCCAGACUCCUACGGGAGGCAGCAGUGGGGAAUAUUGCACAAUGGGCGAAAGCCUGAUGCAGCAACGCCGCGUGAGGGAUGACGGCCUUCGGGUUGUAAACCUCUUUUAGCAGGGAAGAAGCGAAAGUGACGGUACCUGCAGAAAAAGCGCCGGCUAACUACGUGCCAGCAGCCGCGGUAAUACGUAGGGCGCAAGCGUUAUCCGGAAUUAUUGGGCGUAAAGAGCUCGUAGGCGGUUUGUCGCGUCUGCUGUGAAAACCCGAGGCUCAACCUCGGGCCUGCAGUGGGUACGGGCAGACUAGAGUGCGGUAGGGGAGAUUGGAACUCCUGGUGUAGCGGUGGAAUGCGCAGAUAUCAGGAAGAACACCGAUGGCGAAGGCAGAUCUCUGGGCCGUAACUGACGCUGAGGAGCGAAAGGGUGGGGAGCAAACAGGCUUAGAUACCCUGGUAGUCCACCCCGUAAACGUUGGGAACUAGUUGUGGGGACCAUUCCACGGUUUCCGUGACGCAGCUAACGCAUUAAGUUCCCCGCCUGGGGAGUAC
Molecule: ribosomal RNA, 806 nt
Filed under: Microbacterium sp.
Lineage: Bacteria; Bacillati; Actinomycetota; Actinomycetes; Micrococcales; Microbacteriaceae
Description: bacterial SSU rRNA
Rfam family: Bacterial small subunit ribosomal RNA
Source: RNAcentral